ACCGCACAAGCGGUGGAUGAUGUGGAUUAAUUCGAUGCAACGCGAAGAACCUUACCUACCCUUGACAUGUCCGGAACUUGCCAGAGAUGGCUUGGUGCCCGAAAGGGAAUCGGAACACAGGUGCUGCAUGGCUGUCGUCAGCUCGUGUCGUGAGAUGUUGGGUUAAGUCCCGCAACGAGCGCAACCCUUAUCAUUAGUUGCUACGCAAGGGCACUCUAAUGAGACUGCCGGUGACAAACCGGAGGAAGGUGGGGAUGACGUCAAGUCCUCAUGGCCCUUAUGGGUAGGGCUUCACACGUGCUACAAUGGUUGGUACAACGAGUUGCGAGUCGGUGACGGCGAGCUAAUCUCUUAAAGCCAAUCUCAGUUCGGAUUGUAGGCUGCAACUCGCCUACAUGAAGUCGGAAUCGCUAGUAAUCGCGGAUCAGCACGCCGCGGUCGAAUACGUUCCCGGGCCUU
RNAcentral lists this ribosomal RNA (459 nucleotides) under uncultured Tepidiphilus sp. Its description in RNAcentral is "bacterial SSU rRNA". It matches the Rfam family "Bacterial small subunit ribosomal RNA", at positions 920 to 1382 of the family's 1533-position model. Lineage: Bacteria; Pseudomonadati; Pseudomonadota; Hydrogenophilia; Hydrogenophilales; Hydrogenophilaceae. The record is from RNAcentral.